GGAGGGAGAGAUGGCCGAGAGG
Molecule: transfer RNA, 22 nt
Filed under: Crepidomanes bipunctatum
Lineage: Eukaryota; Viridiplantae; Streptophyta; Polypodiopsida; Hymenophyllales; Hymenophyllaceae
Description: partial tRNA-Ser
Source: RNAcentral